GAUGAGGUGGCUGAGUGGUUAAGGCGAUGGACUGCUAAUCCAUGGUGCUCUGCAUGCAUGGGUUCAAAUCCCAUCCUCAUCA
Salmo salar (Atlantic salmon) is the source of this 82-nucleotide non-coding RNA. NCBI's taxonomy places the organism in Eukaryota, Metazoa, Chordata, Actinopteri, Salmoniformes, Salmonidae. The record is from Rfam.